ACUCAAAUGAAUUGACGGGGGCCCGCACAAGCAGCGGAGCGUGUGGUUUAAUUCGACGCGACGCGCAGCACCUUACCAGGGCUUGACAUGGGCCUGCACCCCCCGGAAACGGGGUAGCCUUCGAGGGUGGCCCGCAGAUGCUGCAUGGCUGUCGUCAGCUCGUGCCGUGAGGUGUUGGGUUAAGUCCCGCAACGAGCGCAACCCUCGCCGCCAGUUGCAGCGCUCUGGCGGGACGGCCGGCCGCAAGCCGGAGGAAGGUGGGGAUGACGUCAAGUCCGCAUGGCUCUGACGCCCUGGGCGACACACACGCUACAAUGGCACCGACAGAGGGCGCGCCAACCCGCGAGGGGGAGCCAAUCCCAGAAACGGUGCCUCAGUUCGGAUCGCGGGCUGCAACCCGCCCGCGUGAAGCCGGAGUUGCUAGUAACCGCGGGUCAGCACUACCGCGGUGAAUGCGUUCCCGGGCCUUGUACACACCGCCCGU
This 484-nucleotide ribosomal RNA is filed under the name uncultured bacterium. RNAcentral's name for it is "partial 16S ribosomal RNA". It matches the Rfam family "Bacterial small subunit ribosomal RNA", at positions 899 to 1397 of the family's 1533-position model. The record is from RNAcentral.